This 425-nucleotide ribosomal RNA is filed under the name bacterium. Its description in RNAcentral is "partial 16S ribosomal RNA". It matches the Rfam family "Bacterial small subunit ribosomal RNA", at positions 355 to 776 of the family's 1533-position model. The record is from RNAcentral.
UGGGGAAUAUUGCACAAUGGGCGCAAGCCUGAUGCAGCGACGCCGCGUGAGGGAUGGAGGCCUUCGGGUUGUAAACCUCUUUCGCCAGUGAAGCAGGCCAUCUUCUUUGUGGGGUGGUUGACGGUAGCUGGAUAAGAAGCGCCGGCUAACUACGUGCCAGCAGCCGCGGUAAUACGUAGGGCGCGAGCGUUGUCCGGAAUUAUUGGGCGUAAAGAGCUCGUAGGCGGGUGGUCGCGUCUGGCGUGAAAUCCCCUGGCUUAACUGGGGGCUUGCGGUGGGUACGGGCCGGCUUGAGGGCGGUAGGGGAGACUGGAAUUCCUGGUGUAGCGGUGGAAUGCGCAGAUAUCAGGAGGAACACCGGUGGCGAAGGCGGGUCUCUGGGCCGUUACUGACGCUGAGGAGCGAAAGCGUGGGGAGCGAACAGG